GGUAAUUCCAGCUCCAAUAGCGUAUAUUAAAUUUGUUGCGGUUAAAAAGCUCGUAGUUGGAUCUCGGCGGGCAGGGGGCGGUCCGUUAUUUGACGCGACUGCCCCAUUUGCCCGUGUAUCUUCGGCGGAACUCCCGGGGUGCUCUUCGCCGAGUGUCCCGUUGGGGGCCGCCAGCUUUACCUUGAAAAAAUUAGAGUGCUUAAAGCAGGCUCGACACGCCUGAAUAUUUAUGCAUGGAAUAAUGGAAUAGGACGUCGUUCCUAUUUUGUUGGUUUUCGGGAAUCGACGUAAUGAUUAAUAGGGACAGCCGGGGGCAUUAGUAUUCAGACGACAGAGGUGAAAUUCUUGGACCGUCUGGCGACUCACUGCUGCGAAAGCGUUUGCCAAGUAUGUUUUCAUUAAUCAAGAACGAAAGUUAGAGGUUCGAAGGCGAUCAGAUACCGCCCUAGUUCUAACCAUAAACGAUGCCAGCUAGCGAUCCGCAGACGUUUUUAUUGUAGGCUCUGCGGGAAGCUUCCGGGAAACCAAAGCUCUUGGGUUCCGGGGGAAGUAUGGUUGCAAAGCUGAAACUUAAAGAAAUUGACGGAAGGGCACCACCAGGCGUGGAACUUGCGGCUUAAUUUGACUCAACACUGGAAAUCUCACCAGGCCCGGACACCGGAAGGAUUGACAGAUUGAGAGCUCUUUCUCGAUUCGGUGGGUGGUGGUGCAUG
Molecule: ribosomal RNA, 713 nt
Filed under: Diacyclops bicuspidatus
Lineage: Eukaryota; Metazoa; Arthropoda; Copepoda; Cyclopoida; Cyclopidae
Description: SSU rRNA
Rfam family: Eukaryotic small subunit ribosomal RNA
Source: RNAcentral